GACGAACGCUGGCGGCGUGCCUAAUACAUGCAAGUCGAGCGGACCAAAGGGAGCUUGCUCCUGGAGGUUAGCGGCGAACGGGUGAGCAACACGUGGGCAACCUGCCUGUAAGACUGGGAUAACAUCGAGAAAUCGGUGCUAAUACCGGAUAAUAAAAAGAAUUGCAUGGUUCUUUUUUGAAAGAUGGUUUCGGCUAUCACUUACAGAUGGGCCCGCGGCGCAUUAGCUAGUUGGUGGGGUAACGGCUCACCAAGGCGACGAUGCGCAGCCGACCUGAGAGGGUGAUCGGCCACACUGGGACUGAGACACGGCCCAGACUCCUACGGGAGGCAGCAGUAGGGAAUCUUCCGCAAUGGACGAAAGUCUGACGGAGCAACGCCGCGUGAGUGAUGAAGGUUUUCGGAUCGUAAAACUCUGUUGUUAGGGAAGACAAGUGCCGUUCGAAAGGGCGGCGACCUUAACGGUACCUAACGAGAAGCCACGGCUAACUACGUGCCAGCAGCCGCGGUAA
RNAcentral lists this ribosomal RNA (511 nucleotides) under uncultured bacterium. Its description in RNAcentral is "bacterial SSU rRNA". It matches the Rfam family "Bacterial small subunit ribosomal RNA", at positions 28 to 523 of the family's 1533-position model. The record is from RNAcentral.